RNAcentral lists this ribosomal RNA (1371 nucleotides) under metagenome. RNAcentral describes it as "bacterial LSU rRNA". It matches the Rfam family "Bacterial large subunit ribosomal RNA", at positions 1537 to 2925 of the family's 2925-position model. The record is from RNAcentral.
AAAAUCCGUUUAGACAAUGCUAGGAUGUGAUGGGGAAGCCCUUCGGGGCGAAGUAGCUGAUUUCACACUGUCAAGAAAAGCUUCUAUCGAGUUUAAAGGCGCCCGUACCGUAAACCGACACAGGUGGGUGAGGAGAGUAUCCUAAGGCCAGCGAGAGAACUAUUGUUAAGGAACUCGGCAAAAUGACCCCGUAACUUAGGGAGAAGGGGUGCCUGUCUAUGACAGGCCGCAGAGAAUAGGCCCAAGCGACUGUUUACCAAAAACACAGGUUUCUGCUAAGUCGCAAGACGAUGUAUAGGAGCUGACGCCUGCCCGGUGCUGGAAGGUUAAGGGGAUCUGUUAGAGCAAUCGAAGCAGUGAACUUAAGCCCCAGUAAACGGCGGCCGUAACGAUAACGGUCCUAAGGUAGCGAAAUUCCUUGUCGGGUAAGUUCCGACCCGCACGAAAGGCGUAACGAUUUGGGCACUGUCUCAACAAUAGACUCGGUGAAAUUGUAAUCCCGGUGAAGAUGCCGGGUACCUGCGACAGGACGGAAAGACCCCAUGGAGCUUUACUGUAGCUUGACGUUGGGUCUUGGUACUACAUGUACAGGAUAGGUGGGAGACUAUGAAGCAUGGACGCCAGUCUGUGUGGAGUCAUCCUUGGGAUACCACCCUUGUAGUACUGGGAUCCUAACCAUAGGCCUUGAAUCAGGUCUUGGAACACCGUCAGGUGGGCAGUUUGACUGGGGCGGUCGCCUCCUAAAAAGUAACGGAGGCGCUCAAAGGUUUCCUCAGCACGGUCGGAAAUCGUGCGAAGAGUGUAAAGGCAAAAGGAAGCUUGAUUGCAAGACAUACAGGUCGAGCAAGGACGAAAGUCGGACUUAGUGAUCCGGUGGUACCGCAUGGAAGGGCCAUCGCUCAACGGAUAAAAGCUACCCUGGGGAUAACAGGCUUAUCUCCCCCAAGGGUCCACAUCGACGGGGAGGUUUGGCACCUCGAUGUCGGCUCAUCACAUCCUGGGGCUGUAGUAGGUCCCAAGGGUUGGGCUGUUCGCCCAUUAAAGUGGUACGCGAGCUGGGUUCAGAACGUCGUGAGACAGUUCGGUCCCUAUCCGUCGCAGGCGUAGGAAAUUUGAGAAGACCUGUCCUUAGUACGAGAGGACCGGGAUGGACGUACCUCUGGUGUACCAGUUGUUCUGCCAAGGGCAUGGCUGGGUAGCUAUGUACGGAAUGGAUAAGCGCUGAAAGCAUCUAAGCGCGAAGCCAACUUCAAGAUAAGAUUUCCCACCGUAAGGGUAAGACCCCAGGAAGACUACCUGGUUGAUAGGUCGAAGGUGUAAGUGCAGUAAUGUAUUUAGCUUAUCGAUACUAAUAGGUCGAGGACUUGAUCA